CAGUAGCCGCGGUAAUGCGAAGGGUGCAAGCGUUAAUCGGAAUUACUGGGCGUAAAGCGUGCGUAGGCGGUUUGUUAAGUCUGUUGUGAAAUCCCCGGGCUCAACCUGGGAAUGGCAAUGGAUACUGGCAAGCUAGAGUGUGUCAGAGGAUGGUGGAAUUCCCGGUGUAGCGGUGAAAUGCGUAGAGAUCGGGAGGAACAUCAGUGGCGAAGGCGGCCAUCUGGGACAACACUGACGCUGAGGCACGAAAGCGUGGGGAGCAAACAGGAUUAGAUACCCGUGUAGUCCCUGUCUCUUAUAC
RNAcentral lists this ribosomal RNA (301 nucleotides) under uncultured bacterium. RNAcentral's name for it is "partial 16S ribosomal RNA". It matches the Rfam family "Bacterial small subunit ribosomal RNA", at positions 509 to 807 of the family's 1533-position model. The record is from RNAcentral.